UUUUGUGAAUACAGGCUGCAUCCGUCUACUGCAGGGACCAGAAGGGUCUCAGGGAUAUGUGUUCCAUGGAGUAUGUCCCCCACUGCGGGUCUGAUGGUGUCACCUACCCCAACAAAUGCACGUUCUGCAAUGCCUUCCUGAGAAGCCGUGGAGGUCUUGGCUUGAGAUCUCUUAAUGCAUGUUAAGUUCUCGACUGGAUUCAGCUGAGAAAGAACACCCCUCCCUGGCAAUGCUCCCCAUGGCAGAUGACUUCCUAAACCCUCGACCUGACCCUUGAAAACCUCCUAUCAAUCGUGAAACCUCUGAUAAUAAAAAAAAAGACCCAGCA
Non-coding RNA from Lonchura striata (white-rumped munia), 328 nucleotides. The record is from RefSeq and is a predicted model, not a curated record. NCBI's taxonomy places the organism in Eukaryota, Metazoa, Chordata, Aves, Passeriformes, Estrildidae.